CCUACGGGCGGCAGCAGUGAGGAAUAUUGGUCAAUGGGCGGAAGCCUGAACCAGCCAAGUCGCGUGAGGGAGUAAGGCCCUACGGGUCGUAAACCUCUUUUGCCGGGGAGCAGUGCCCAGCUCGUGAGCUGGGAGGGAGCGUACCCGGAGAAAACGCAUCGGCUAACUCCGUGCCAGCAGCCGCGGUAAUACGUAGGGGGCAAGCGUUAUCCGGAUUUACUGGGUGUAAAGGGAGCGUAGACGGUUAUGUAAGUCUGGAGUGAAAGCCCGGGGCCCAACCCCGGGACUGCUUUGGAAACUGUGUAACUGGAGUACAGGAGGGGCAGGCGGAAUUCCUGGUGUAGCGGUGAAAUGCGUAGAUAUCAGGAGGAACACCGGCGGCGAAGGCGGCCUGCUGGACUGAAACUGACGUUGAGGCUCGAAAGCGUGGGGAGCAAACAGGAUUAGAUACCCCAGUAGUC
Molecule: ribosomal RNA, 461 nt
Filed under: uncultured bacterium
Lineage: Bacteria
Description: partial 16S ribosomal RNA
Rfam family: Bacterial small subunit ribosomal RNA
Source: RNAcentral